AGUCGAACGAAGCACUUUAUUCAGAUUCUUUCGGGAUGAUGAAUUUAGUGACUUAGUGGCGGACGGGUGAGUAACGCGUGGGUAACCUGCCUUACACAGGGGGAUAACAGUUAGAAAUGACUGCUAAUACCGCAUAAAACAGCAGCACCGCAUGGUGCAACUGUCAAAGAUUUAUCGGUGUAAGAUGGACCCGCGUCUGAUUAGCCAGUUGGUGGGGUAACGGCCUACCAAAGCGACGAUCAGUAGCCGACCUGAGAGGGUGAUCGGCCACAUUGGGACUGAGACACGGCCCAAACUCCUACGGGAGGCAGCAGUGGGGAAUAUUGGACAAUGGGCGAAAGCCUGAUCCAGCGACGCCGCGUGAGCGAUGAAGUAUUUCGGUAUGUAAAGCUCUAUCAGCAGGGAAGAAAAUGACGGUAUCUGACUAAGAAGCCCCGGCUAACUACGUGCCAGCAGCCGCGGUAAUACGUAGGGGGCAAGCGUUAUCCGGAUUUACUGGGUGUAAAGGGAGCGUAGACGGAAGUGCAAGUCAGAAGUGAAAGCCCGGGGCUUAACCCCGGGACUGCUUUUGAAACUGUGCAUCUAGAGUGCAGGAGAGGUAAGCGGAAUUCCUAGUGUAGCGGUGAAAUGCGUAGAUAUUAGGAGGAACACCGGUGGCGAAGGCGGCUUACUGGACUGUAACUGACGUUGAGGCUCGAAAGCGUGGGGAGCAAACAGGAUUAGGUACCCUGGUAGUCCACGCCGUAA
RNAcentral lists this ribosomal RNA (747 nucleotides) under uncultured bacterium. RNAcentral's name for it is "bacterial SSU rRNA". It matches the Rfam family "Bacterial small subunit ribosomal RNA", at positions 60 to 805 of the family's 1533-position model. The record is from RNAcentral.